Molecule: long non-coding RNA, 532 nt
Organism: Cercocebus atys (sooty mangabey)
Lineage: Eukaryota; Metazoa; Chordata; Mammalia; Primates; Cercopithecidae
Exons: 3
Source: RefSeq, a predicted model, not a curated record
GGCAGGGAAACACAUCCAAACCAUAUCACUGUCAAAGAUUAACAAAGCUGGACUCUAAAGUGGCAAGGACAGACUUUAAUCAUUUGGAGAGCAAAUAUGAUUCUUGUUCCAGUUUAUUGUCAUCAAAAUGUUAUGAUUUAUGUUAUGUAAUUUUACUUUUAAGGAAGAGAAUAAAUUUCUGUUGUUUUAAGCCACCCAGUUUGUGGUACUUUAUUACAGCAGCCUUUCGAAACUAAUACAGAUAAACUGCAUUUCAGUCAACAAUGUUUUAUAAAUGUUACCUCUCUCAAUCAAGAUUUGGUAUGUGUUGGACAGUAGAAAGUUUGAUAAGUGACUGAAGUAGGUUUUAUGUGCUGAUAUUGAGGAUAGAUCCAUUUGCUUUAAAUUUUAAACCUGCAAAUAUUGGUGAGGUUGACAUCCUUGAGAACAUUGGGACACCUGAGGUUCACACUUGAGCUGUUAGUCAUCACACUAGAUGUGGAGAAGGGCGAAGUGCAUAUUUUAAAACAAGUCCAGGGUUAUUGGUUCUUCU